RNAcentral lists this ribosomal RNA (536 nucleotides) under uncultured bacterium. RNAcentral's name for it is "partial 16S ribosomal RNA". It matches the Rfam family "Bacterial small subunit ribosomal RNA", at positions 355 to 907 of the family's 1533-position model. The record is from RNAcentral.
UGGGGAAUAUUGGACAAUGGGCGCAAGCCUGAUCCAGCCAUGCCGCGUGUGUGAUGAAGGCCUUAGGGUUGUAAAGCACUUUCGCCGAUGAAGAUAAUGACUGUAGUCGGAGAAGAAGCCCCGGCUAACUUCGUGCCAGCAGCCGCGGUAAUACGAAGGGGGCAAGCGUUGUUCGGAUUUACUGGGCGUAAAGCGUACGUAGGCGGAUGAUUAAGUCAGGGGUGAAAUCCCGGGGCUCAACCUCGGAACUGCCUUUGAUACUGGUCGUCUUGAGUCCGGGAGAGGUGGGUGGAACUCCUAGUGUAGAGGUGAAAUUCGUAGAUAUUAGGAAGAACACCAGUGGCGAAGGCGGCUCACUGGCCCGGAACUGACGCUGAGGUACGAAAGCGUGGGGAGCAAACAGGAUUAGAUACCCUGGUAGUCCACGCCGUAAACGAUGGAUGCUAGCCGUCGGGGAGCUUGCUCUUCGGUGGCGCAGCUAACGCAUUAAGCAUCCCGCCUGGGGCAGUACGGUCGCAAGAUUAAAAUCUCAAAGU